RNAcentral lists this ribosomal RNA (429 nucleotides) under Gemmatimonadota bacterium. RNAcentral describes it as "Gemmatimonadetes bacterium partial 16S ribosomal RNA". It matches the Rfam family "Bacterial small subunit ribosomal RNA", at positions 355 to 776 of the family's 1533-position model. Lineage: Bacteria; Pseudomonadati; Gemmatimonadota. The record is from RNAcentral.
UAGGGAAUCUUCGGCAAUGGACGAAAGUCUGACCGAGCAACGCCGCGUGAGUGAAGAAGGUUUUCGGAUCGUAAAACUCUGUUGUUAGAGAAGAACAAGGACGUUAGUAACUGAACGUCCCCUGACGGUAUCUAACCAGAAAGCCACGGCUAACUACGUGCCAGCAGCCGCGGUAAGACGUAGGUGGCAAGCGUUGUCCGGAUUUAUUGGGCGUAAAGCGAGCGCAGGCGGUUUCUUAAGUCUGAUGUGAAAGCCCCCGGCUCAACCGGGGAGGGGCAUUGGAAACUGGGAGACUUGAGUGCAGAAGAGGAGAGUGAAAUUCCAUGUGUAGCGGUGAAAUGCGUAGAUAUAUGGAGGAACACCAGUGGCGAAGGCGGCUCUCUGGUCUGUAACUGACGCUGAGGCUCGAAAGCGUGGGGAGCAAACAGG